This is a non-coding RNA of Trichonephila clavipes, 74 nucleotides long. NCBI's taxonomy places the organism in Eukaryota, Metazoa, Arthropoda, Arachnida, Araneae, Nephilidae. The record is from the annotation of a GenBank genome assembly.
GUCCUUGUAGCGCAAGUAUAGCACGUUGGACUUUUCUAAUCCAAAGAUCGUGGGUUCGAAUCCCACCUGGGAUG